GACGAACGCUGGCGGCGUGCUUAACACAUGCAAGUCGAACGGUGAAGCGCCUUCCUUUUUGGUGGGUGUGGAUGAGUGGCGAACGGGUGAGUAACACGUGAGUAACCUGCCCCCUUCUUCUGGAUAACCGCAUGAAAGUGUGGCUAAUACGGGAUAUUCUGGGUCUGUCGCAUGAUGGGUCUGGGAAAGAUAUUGUUUCGGUGGGGGAUGGGCUCGCGGCCUAUCAGCUUGUUGGUGGGGUGAUGGCCUACCAAGGCGGUGACGGGUAGCCGGCCUGAGAGGGUGGACGGUCACACUGGGACUGAGACACGGCCCAGACUACUACGAGAGGCAGCAGUGGGGAAUAUUGCACAAUGGGGGCAAGCCUGAUGCAGAGACGCCGCGUGAGGGAUGGAGGCCUUCGGGUUGUGAACCUCUUUCGCCAGUGAAGCAGGCCUGCCUCGUUUGUGGGUGGGUUGACGGUAGCUGGAUAAGAAGCGCCGGCUAACUACGUG
This 494-nucleotide ribosomal RNA is filed under the name uncultured bacterium. Its description in RNAcentral is "partial 16S ribosomal RNA". It matches the Rfam family "Bacterial small subunit ribosomal RNA", at positions 28 to 507 of the family's 1533-position model. The record is from RNAcentral.